AAACGGCCACGGUACUCUGACCGUGCAAAGGUAGCAUAAUCAUUUGCCUUAUAAUUGAAGGCUGGAAUGAAUGGUUUGACAAGAAUACACCUGUCUCUUUAGAUUAUUUAGAAUUUAUCUUUGGGUGAAAAAGCCCAGAUUGUAUUAAAAGACAAGAAGACCCUAUCGAGCUUCAGAAAAAUUAAUAGAGAUUAUGCUUAAUAUUGGUUAAAAAGAAAGCUAUUAAAUACUUUGGUUGGGGCAACCGAGGAGUAAACAAAGCCUCCUUUGAAUAAGAAGUCUUACUUGUGAGGAUCCAAGAAUUUUGAUCAAAGAAAUUAGUUACCGUAGGGAUAACAGCAUUAUCUUUUUUGAGAGCCCAUAUCGAAAAAAAGGUUUGUGACCUCGAUGUUGGACCAGAAUAUCCUAAAGAUGUA
This 416-nucleotide ribosomal RNA is filed under the name Conus coronatus. RNAcentral's name for it is "partial 16S ribosomal RNA". It matches the Rfam family "Bacterial large subunit ribosomal RNA", at positions 1925 to 2557 of the family's 2925-position model. Lineage: Eukaryota; Metazoa; Mollusca; Gastropoda; Neogastropoda; Conidae. The record is from RNAcentral.